Molecule: small nuclear RNA, 106 nt
Organism: Rhinolophus ferrumequinum (greater horseshoe bat)
Lineage: Eukaryota; Metazoa; Chordata; Mammalia; Chiroptera; Rhinolophidae
Source: Ensembl
UUGCUUGCCUGGGCAGCACAUGUACUAAAGUUAGAAGGAUACAGAGAAAAAUAGCAUGGCCCUCUGCAACGCUGGCACACAAAUUUAUGAAACAUUUUAUACUUUU